AGUGUAGGGUUCCUAGCGAGCCCAACCUCCCACCCGUGUUUACUGUACCUUAGUUGCUUCGGCGGGCCCGCCAUUCAUGGCCGCCGGGGGCUCUCAGCCCCGGGCCCGCGCCCGCCGGAGACACCACGAACUCUGUCUGAUCUAGUGAAGUCUGAGUUGAUUGUAUCGCAAUCAGUUAAAACUUUCAACAAUGGAUCUCUUGGUUCCGGCAUCGAUGAAGAACGCAGCGAAAUGCGAUAACUAGUGUGAAUUGCAGAAUUCCGUGAAUCAUCGAGUCUUUGAACGCACAUUGCGCCCCCUGGUAUUCCGGGGGGCAUGCCUGUCCGAGCGUCAUUGCUGCCCAUCAAGCACGGCUUGUGUGUUGGGUCGUCGUCCCCUCUCCGGGGGGGACGGGCCCCAAAGGCAGCGGCGGCACCGCGUCCGAUCCUCGAGCGUAUGGGGCUUUGUCACCCGCUCUGUAGGCCCGGCCGGCGCUUGCCGAACGCAAAUCAAUCUUUUUCCAGGUUGACCUCGGAUCAGGUAGGGAUACCCGCUGAACUUAAGCAUAUCAA
Molecule: ribosomal RNA, 551 nt
Filed under: Aspergillus flavus
Lineage: Eukaryota; Fungi; Ascomycota; Eurotiomycetes; Eurotiales; Aspergillaceae
Description: eukaryotic LSU rRNA
Rfam family: 5.8S ribosomal RNA (bases 180-333)
Source: RNAcentral